AGCAAAGAAGUAAAAAAUUUACACUUAGUUUCGACCUAAGCAUUAAGGUAACCCUCAUGCUU
This 62-nucleotide transfer RNA is filed under the name Empoascanara falcata. Its description in RNAcentral is "tRNA-Arg". The record is from RNAcentral. Lineage: Eukaryota; Metazoa; Arthropoda; Insecta; Hemiptera; Cicadellidae.